UACGUAGGGGGCGAGCGUUGUCCGGAUUUACUGGGCGUAAAGGGCGCGUAGGCGGUCACUACAAGUCAGUUGUGAAAUCUCUGGGCUUAACUCAGAACGGUCAACUGAUACUGUCGGACUAGAGUGCAGAAGGGGCAACUGGAAUUCUCGGUGUAGCGGUGAAAUGCGUAGAUAUCGAGAGGAACACCUGCGGCGAAGGCGGGUUGCUGGGCUGACACUGACGCUGAGGCGCGAAAGCUAGGGGAGCGAACGGG
This 254-nucleotide ribosomal RNA is filed under the name uncultured bacterium. Its description in RNAcentral is "partial 16S ribosomal RNA". It matches the Rfam family "Bacterial small subunit ribosomal RNA", at positions 524 to 776 of the family's 1533-position model. The record is from RNAcentral.